Molecule: ribosomal RNA, 253 nt
Filed under: uncultured bacterium
Lineage: Bacteria
Description: partial 16S ribosomal RNA
Rfam family: Bacterial small subunit ribosomal RNA
Source: RNAcentral
UACGGGGGGGGCAAGCGUUGUUCGGAAUUACUGGGCGUAAAGGGCGCGUAGGCGGGCAGGUAAGUCGGGCGUGAAAUCCCUCGGCUCAACCGAGGAACUGCGCCCGAGACUGCCUUGCUUGAGUCCCGGAGAGGAAGGUGGAAUUCCCGGUGUAGCGGUGAAAUGCGUAGAGAUCGGGAGGAACACCGGUGGCGAAGGCGGCCUUCUGGACGGUGACUGACGCUGAGGCGCGAAAGCGUGGGGAGCAAACGGG